This 553-nucleotide small RNA is filed under the name Pongo abelii (Sumatran orangutan). RNAcentral's name for it is "retained intron". Lineage: Eukaryota; Metazoa; Chordata; Mammalia; Primates; Hominidae. The record is from RNAcentral.
CAAGUGGCAGCGAGAAGGCAAUUCCUGGCUGGCGGUUGGCAUCUGAGCAGGCGUCACGAUGUUGGGCUGGGUCCAGAGGGUGCUGCCUCAGCCCCCAGGGACCCCUCGGAAGACCAAGAUGCAGGAGGAAGAGAAAGUGGAACCAGAGCCAGAGCUGGAGGCGGAGGUGGAACGAGAACCGAAUCCCGAGGAGGCCGAGACAGAGUCCGAGUCCAUGCCCCCCGAAGAGUCAUUCAAGGAGGAGGAAGUGGCUGUGGCGGACCCAAGCCCUCAGGAGACCAAGGAGGCUGCCCUUACUUCCACCAUAUCCCUCCGGGCCCAGGGCGCUGAGAUUUCUGAAAUGAACAGGUACUGCACCACCCUCCCCUCUCUUCAGGGCUAGCCUGCCCCCCAACUCCCCUCCCAGCUAGGGAGCCCUGGGGAUGGGGGUGGGGAUGGGCACUGCCCUCAGCUCUGCUGUCAUUCUGGGGAAAGCCCUGGGACAUCCUGGGAAUUGGCUGAAGUGAGCUUCAGAUGGAGGGCGGGCUCUCCCAAAGUAAGCCUGAAGCUCCCA